This 429-nucleotide ribosomal RNA is filed under the name Chloroflexota bacterium. RNAcentral's name for it is "Chloroflexi bacterium partial 16S ribosomal RNA". It matches the Rfam family "Bacterial small subunit ribosomal RNA", at positions 355 to 776 of the family's 1533-position model. Lineage: Bacteria; Bacillati; Chloroflexota. The record is from RNAcentral.
UGGGGAAUAUUGCACAAUGGGCGCAAGCCUGAUCCAGCCAUGCCGCGUGUAUGAAGAAGGCCUUCGGGUUGUAAAGUACUUUCAGUCGGGAGGAAGGUGGUAAGGUUAAUAACCUUAUCAAUUGACGUUACCGACAGAAGAAGCACCGGCUAACUCCGUGCCAGCAGCCGCGGUAAUACGGAGGGUGCAAGCGUUAAUCGGAAUUACUGGGCGUAAAGCGCACGCAGGCGGUUGAUUGAGUCAGAUGUGAAAUCCCCGGGCUUAACCCGGGAAUUGCAUCUGAUACUGGUCAGCUAGAGUCUUGUAGAGGGGGGUAGAAUUCCAUGUGUAGCGGUGAAAUGCGUAGAGAUGUGGAGGAAUACCGGUGGCGAAGGCGGCCCCCUGGACAAAGACUGACGCUGAGGUGCGAAAGCGUGGGGAGCAAACAGG